This 76-nucleotide transfer RNA is filed under the name Micromonospora sp. NBRC 107095. RNAcentral describes it as "tRNA-Leu". The record is from RNAcentral. Lineage: Bacteria; Bacillati; Actinomycetota; Actinomycetes; Micromonosporales; Micromonosporaceae.
CGGCUGGUGCGGCACGGUUCGCGUUGUCAUCCCUGAGGGGGAUGGUGGUGGUACUGCUCGACGCAGCGCUGGUUGA